RNAcentral lists this long non-coding RNA (3129 nucleotides) under Homo sapiens (human). RNAcentral describes it as "HSALNT0385573". Lineage: Eukaryota; Metazoa; Chordata; Mammalia; Primates; Hominidae. The record is from RNAcentral.
GGCAACCCUCCCGCGGAGGCCGAGAGAGGCCACCGGCCCUUUGUUGAUCUGCGAGAAAUCAAACUACGAACACGACAAGCAUUAGCCUGCAGCUCGAGGAGACAAGGUGUCACAAUUACAAGGGGAAACUAGCCGCCCUAGCUCCACUGUCUCCCCAGCACGAGAGAUUUGAGAACAGAAAGGCUUCCCUCCGCAGGGCGAAACUGCUGGGCUGCCUGGAAGGGCGAGGCAGGGAGCGGAACCGUCUUCAGGAAAUUUCGGGAGUUCCGGGGUCAGGUCCACUCCCCGGCUGUUGUUGUGUUGUUGGCAGGGCAGAGGGUCUAGGAUGCCAGCCUGCUCCGGGCUGCGCUGUGCGCCUAGCCCAGGGCGGGGGGAUGCGGGGCGACACCCGCCUCCCGGUGCAUCCAGGAGUUGUAGUCUCUUCACCGGUUCCCCACUGUGGGUGGUGGGGCUGCAGGAGGACAAUUCAAAUUGAGAUAGGAGCGGAGGCGGAGCGCGGCCGUGCAGGGAGGGGCAGGGCGGUGUAGGCGGCUUCAUUUACCAAGCUUUGCUGGCCAUUGUUUCCAUGCCAAACCCUUGCCAAGGGGAUUGUCAGGAGAGGAACUUGAAGGGGAGGCGUGGGCUGGCCAGUGAGGAGGGUGUGUUUUUGCGAAGUGCGCCCCGUCUUUGCCGAAAUUAGGAGUGUCUGGUCCUCACUCACGCGGCUCUCUGCUGCUCAGGUCGAUUUUCUCUCCCACCCUCACCCAGGCUCUUUCCACAGCAUCACCCCUGCCCCAGCCCCUGGAGCCACCUGCUUUCCUAAGUGGUUUUGGAAACUGGGCUGAGGUCCCAAAGGGUGUCCACUGUGCUGUUGCUCUCCGCUCUGUCCAAGCAAAGCACAAGCUCAGCCGACUUUGAAAGACACCCACCGCCUGGCCUGGGAAUGCACAAGUUCAGAGCUUUGCAAGAAGUGAUCAUGGGCUAUGGCUUUGUGAAAAUGUCACCCUCACCAGUGCCUUUUUCGCGGACGUGGACGUGGAGGAAUGAGGGAGGGUAAUCACUGGGCUACCAAGGUACUGCUAAGAGCAGAAGAGAAAAUCCCAGUUUUCAGCCAUGUGUCUGGUUUGACAUUUCACCAACCCAUUUAAGUGUGCAGGCCCCCAAAUAUCUACCUAAAGAUUAUGAUAGUUUAGGCAUUUUACACUUGAAAUUAUUGACCUCAUAUCCACUGAAGCCUGACUGGCCAGUGUCUCAAAGACACAGAUGAUGACCUGAUCCCUCAGGAACAGCUGGUGCUCCAGCUUUGUGGAGGUGAAUUUCAAGGAAUAAAUCCAACUUGAUCAUAACAUCCAACUGUGUUGCCCAGGCUAGUCUCAAACUCCUGGAUUCAAGAGCCCCUCUCCUCUCAGCCUACGAAAGUGCUGGGAUUAAAGUCCUGAACUGACAGCCACAAGUGGCACCUGAACAGGGACUUGAACAAAGAAGGUCUGCUGGAGCAGAAAAAGUGAAACUGACCAGAUGAAUGAGAAACCCUGGGAUGAGUCUGCCUGCAGAGGAUAUAAGGAGAUGGAUAAACCGUGUGAGUGCCCUCAAGUUGUGUGCGACCAUGGAAUGGGAGACUGGAGGGAUACAUGGAUCCCAACUACAGGCCCAGCUCCUCCAGUAUGAGCCAUGAGCCAGUUGAAUCUGAAUGUGAAGAUGGAAUGAAGACCGACGAGAGUCACACUGACGUCAACCCUCAUAACAUGGGGUCAGAUCAAGAAAACCACACCAGAAGCUGAGAAACUGGUGUAGUGCCAGGGUCAGGCAAAAACCCCUGACUCCAUGUUUAUGGCCAUGCUAGCUGUAAUAUCCUGUGCAGUAUGAUUUUUCUGUGCAGAAGCAAAAACAUAUUGGGCAUAUUUUCCUAACCCACCGGUAGUGUGAUCAUACUCUGAAGCAGCACUCCUCCUGAGAUAUAUCAUGAUCAAGGAGCAUCAGUACCAGGACCUCUAACUCCCCCUGACACAGAGCAAUUAGACUCUCAUAACAAUGGUAUCAAUUAUACCACUCCAUUGGAGGGACUUCCUUUAUGUGUCACCCAGGAUACAUUGCUCAACUGCAGUUGCCUUGCAGUUUGAUCCCAAGCAUGGUUGAGUUACCAUUAAAAAAUUAUGUACCUAUUAGACCUUAGCUUUAUUAAUAUUACUUGUGUAGUUACUAAUCACUCCUGGCCCCAUCACCCAAAUUGUACUGAUUAUACAGAAUGGGCUCCCUUUGAUAAUUCUCACCCCCCUCCUUGGGCCCACUGUCUUGGCCCCUUAGCUAGACAAUAGUCCAUGUUAAUGGGAGACAUUAUUGACUGGGGUCCCUGUGGUCAUUAAGAUGGGAGAGAUGAGAAUCAGACCACAUGGCAUAAACUUCACUGGCACUGGUGGCGAAACUUUAACAUCUCUUCACUUCAACACACUGGGAUUCAAUCCCAAUCUGCCAUGCAACUUGCUUGGCAUGGAACGGGCUUUAGCCCACCUUUGCCUCAAUGGCAUUAUCAAGGAAAGAGAGGUCCAAUUCAGGAGUCUAUGUGGAAGGCAGCACUCCCAUAUAUGAAUGGCAGCAUUUGGGUUGGGACACUAUCCAAUAAUAGUAAUAGUGCUCAAUACAGUUUAAUGUUACCUUUGUAAAAAAUGUUUGAAAUUUGUGUUUUUAAUCCCUAUGUUUUUCUAGCAGCAAAAAAGGACCAACUCCAGGUAAACAAUGCCCAAUUGAAUUGUGAUUCCUGUCAACUCUAUCAUUGCCUUAAUCAUAGCACAAUACAAACACACAGCAUAUCCACCCUAAUAAUUCUAGGUCGCAUUCCUGGAUUAUGGAUUCCUGUAAAUCUAUCUGAGCCUUGGGCAGCCACCCCCACUUUACAUUUUGUAAAACUUCUUACUCAGCUUACUCAUGGCACUCGUAGAGCCUUAGGCAUGAUAAUUUUUACUAUAGUCUCCUUAAUUACAUUAAUACCCUCUGUUGUGGUGUCCUCAGUAGCACUGGACAGCUCCACUCAAACAGCUCAAUAUGCAGAAAAUUGGAUGCAUACAGCUGACCAGGCAUGGAUGUUUCAAAAUAAAACUAACACUGAGAUACAAACAGAAGUGGCAAUGUUAAAGACUACUGUUCUGUGGCUAG